This 702-nucleotide ribosomal RNA is filed under the name Nocardioides sp. RNAcentral describes it as "bacterial SSU rRNA". It matches the Rfam family "Bacterial small subunit ribosomal RNA", at positions 64 to 782 of the family's 1533-position model. The record is from RNAcentral. Lineage: Bacteria; Bacillati; Actinomycetota; Actinomycetes; Propionibacteriales; Nocardioidaceae.
GAGCGGAAGGCUCCUUCGGGGGUACUCGAGCGGCGAACGGGUGAGUAACACGUGAGUAAUCUGCCCUGCGCUCUGGGAUAGCCACCGGAAACGGUGAUUAAUACCGGAUAUGACCGCUACACGCAUGUGUUGGUGGUGGAAAGUUUUUCGGCGCAGGAUGUGCUCGCGGCCUAUCAGCUUGUUGGUGAGGUAAUGGCUCACCAAGGCUUUGACGGGUAGCCGGCCUGAGAGGGUGACCGGUCACACUGGGACUGAGACACGGCCCAGACUCCUACGGGAGGCAGCAGUGGGGAAUAUUGGACAAUGGGCGGAAGCCUGAUCCAGCAACGCCACGUGAGGGAUGACGGCCUUCGGGUUGUAAACCUCUUUCAGUACCGACGAAGCGAGAGUGACGGUAGGUACAGAAGAAGGACCGGCCAACUACGUGCCAGCAGCCGCGGUAAUACGUAGGGUCCGAGCGUUGUCCGGAAUUAUUGGGCGUAAAGGGCUCGUAGGCGGUUUGUCGCGUCGGGAGUGAAAACAGCGGGCUUAACUCGUUGCUUGCUUCCGAUACGGGCAGACUAGAGGUAUGCAGGGGAGAAUGGAAUUCCUGGUGUAGCGGUGAAAUGCGCAGAUAUCAGGAGGAACACCGGUGGCGAAGGCGGUUCUCUGGGCAUUACCUGACGCUGAGGAGCGAAAGUGUGGGGAGCGAACAGGAUUAGA